AUGCAGUCGAACGGCAGCACGGGGGCAACCCUGGUGGCGAGUGGCGAACGGGUGAGUAAUAUAUCGGAACGUGCCCUGGAGUGGGGGAUAACGCAGCGAAAGUUGCGCUAAUACCGCAUACGAUCUACGGAUGAAAGUGGGGGAUUCGCAAGRACCUCAUGCUCGUGGAGCGGCCGAUAUCUGAUUAGCUAGUUGGUAGGGUAAAAGCCUACCAAGGCAUCGAUCAGUAGCUGGUCUGAGAGGACGACCAGCCACACUGGAACUGAGACACGGUCCAGACUCCUACGGGAGGCAGCAGUGGGGAAUUUUGGACAAUGGGGGCAACCCUGAUCCAGCAAUGCCGCGUGAGUGAAGAAGGCCUUCGGGUUGUAAAGCUCUUUUGUCGGGGAAGAAACGGUWYRKCYUAAUACGMUGKRCUAAUGACGGUACCCGAAGAAUAAGCACCGGCUAACUACGUGCCAGCAGCCGCGGUAAUACGUAGGGUGCAAGCGUUAAUCGGAAUUACUGGGCGUAAAGCGUGCGCAGGCGGUUAUGUAAGACAGAUGUGAAAUGCCCGGGCUCAACCUGGGAACUGCAUUUGUGACUGCAUGGCUAGAGUGUGUCAGAGGGGGGUAGAAUUCCACGUGUAGCAGUGAAAUGCGUAGAGAUGUGGAGGAAUACCGAUGGCGAAGGCAGCCCCCUGGGAUAACACUGACGCUCAUGCACGAAAGCGUGGGGAGCAAACAGGAUUAGAUACCCUGGUAGUCCACGCCCUAAACGAUGUCUACUAGUUGUCGGGUCUUAAUUGACUUGGUAACGCAGCUAACGCGUGAAGUAGACCGCCUGGGGAGUACGGUCGCAAGAUUAAAACUCAAAGGAAUUGACGGGG
Molecule: ribosomal RNA, 868 nt
Filed under: Oxalobacteraceae bacterium
Lineage: Bacteria; Pseudomonadati; Pseudomonadota; Betaproteobacteria; Burkholderiales; Oxalobacteraceae
Description: bacterial SSU rRNA
Rfam family: Bacterial small subunit ribosomal RNA
Source: RNAcentral